Molecule: ribosomal RNA, 230 nt
Filed under: uncultured bacterium
Lineage: Bacteria
Description: partial 16S ribosomal RNA
Rfam family: Bacterial small subunit ribosomal RNA
Source: RNAcentral
AGCAACCUGCCAUGGAAUGGGGGACAACCGUCCGAAAGGACGGCUAAUACCGCAUAAGACCACAACGACAUAUGUUGAAGGGGUCAAAGGAGGCCAAUUCUUGAAAGCUUCCGUUUCAUGAUGGGCUCAUGUCCUAUUAGCUUGUUGGUGAGGUAACGGCUCACCAAGGCAAUGAUGGGUAGCCGACCUGAGAGGGUGACCGGCCACACCGGGACUGAGACACUGCCCGG